Molecule: long non-coding RNA, 208 nt
Filed under: Elaeis guineensis (African oil palm)
Lineage: Eukaryota; Viridiplantae; Streptophyta; Magnoliopsida; Arecales; Arecaceae
Description: long non-coding RNA (EGUI_LNC063724)
Source: RNAcentral
AUUUAUCUAUCGGACUGCUCCAAACGCUUUCUGAGCUUCACUAUCAGCCAAUUUUCUACAGUGAUCGACUACUCUCUGAAUCUCUUUCAGACUUCUUCCGGCCACAAACGACUUUACUUCGAACUUCUUUCAACUUCAUCAAUGUUCGAGCUUCUCCAACAGCAAGACUUCUAUAGUAAUCAGACUUCAUCCAAGUUUCUAUAGCGGU